Molecule: ribosomal RNA, 259 nt
Filed under: uncultured bacterium
Lineage: Bacteria
Description: partial 16S ribosomal RNA
Rfam family: Bacterial small subunit ribosomal RNA
Source: RNAcentral
CGUUGCUUUCUUUGCUGGCGACCGGCGCACGGGUGGGUAACACGUAUCCAACCUGCCCUUUACUCGGGGAUAGCCUUUCGAAAGAAAGAUUAAUACCCGAUAGUAUAAUGAUUCCGCAUGGUUUCAUUAUUAAAGGAUUCCGGUAAAGGAUGGGGAUGCGUUCCAUUAGGUUGUUGGUGAGGUAACGGCUCACCAAGCCUUCGAUGGAUAGGGGUUCUGAGAGGAAGGUCCCCCACAUUGGAACUGAGACACGGUCCAA